GUGUCUUUAUUUAGAGACAGGGAGUCAAUGCUGAGACCAAGGUGUCUUUACUUAGACAGGGAGUCAAUGCUGUGACCAAGGUGUCUUUAUUUAGAGACAGGGAGUCAAUGCUGAGACCAAGGUGUCUUUAUUUAGAGACAGGGAGUCAAUGCUGAGACCAAGGUGUCUUUAUUUAGAGACAGGGAGUCAAUGCUGAGACCAAGGUGUCUUUAUUGAGACAGGGAGAGGUAGAGGUCAUGUGAUGUAAUUACACAGGCCGAUGCUGCAGGGAUGUAGAGGUCAUGUGAUGUAAUUACACAGGCCGAUGCUGCAGGGAUGUAAUGAGGUGGUGUAAUUACACAGGCCGAUGCUGCAGGGAUGUAAUGAGGUGAUGUAAUUACACAGGCCGAUGCUGCAGGGAUGUAGAGGUCAUUUGAAGCAGCCUUUCUUCCAUCGCGUGUUUGGAACAAUGACAAAGACAUCGGCAACUUUGUAUUCUGUCGUCAACUCCGCUCUGAAGUGACCUGGCGGGCACCGUCAGGCAGAGAUCAACA
Molecule: long non-coding RNA, 533 nt
Organism: Oncorhynchus tshawytscha (Chinook salmon)
Lineage: Eukaryota; Metazoa; Chordata; Actinopteri; Salmoniformes; Salmonidae
Source: Ensembl